RNAcentral lists this ribosomal RNA (253 nucleotides) under uncultured bacterium. RNAcentral's name for it is "partial 16S ribosomal RNA". It matches the Rfam family "Bacterial small subunit ribosomal RNA", at positions 524 to 776 of the family's 1533-position model. The record is from RNAcentral.
UACGGAGGAUCCGAGCGUUAUCCGGAUUUAUUGGGUUUAAAGGGUGCGUAGGUGGAUCGUUAAGUCAGUGGUGAAAGUUUUCAGCUCAACUGAAAAAUUGCCGUUGAAACUGUCGAUCUUGAGUGCAAAUGAGGUAGGCGGAACGUGUUGUGUAGCGGUGAAAUGCUUAGAUAUAACACAGAACUCCGAUUGCGAAGGCAGCUUACUGGGAUGCAACUGACACUGAUGCACGAAAGCGUGGGUAUCAAACAGG